Molecule: small RNA, 709 nt
Filed under: Cryptococcus neoformans H99
Lineage: Eukaryota; Fungi; Basidiomycota; Tremellomycetes; Tremellales; Cryptococcaceae
Description: Cryptococcus neoformans var. grubii H99 hypothetical RNA
Source: RNAcentral
CGGCUGAACGAUCGAUAACCAUAACAAUCUAGACAAGACGACAAGGGAUUACAACAGUAUCAGGUGGAUGUAAAGGCUUUUAUGGCCAUCACAACAACAAAAAUCGUGGCGACAGAGUUUGCGCACCCCUUGACAGCACCUCGUUCACUUCCUUUCACGGAGAUGAGACUUUUCUGUUGGAGAAAGUCACCGGAUUCCAUGAUCUUAUCCCAUUAUAAUCUAUCAUCUGGCCAAAGAGUGAUUCUCAUAAGUAGCGAGGCAUUCAGGUAAUGUCUGACCUCCUGGAUGAGACAGCAGAUGGAAUCAACACAGAUUCCAAUGGCUUGACCUGUAUCGAACCUUCAGCAUGGGACACCAUCCUUAGUGAGUCCAGCUUCGGUAUUUUCGAUAACAUUUGAGUGAGUUUUGAUAUUGAAAUCACCUGUAGAAGUAAUGAUAGCGCUUAUGAUCACAGAGCUUGUCGUCGGUAUCACAUUUAUGUGUAUUAGGUCGAAACGGCAUCGAGUGGACCAUGAGCAUGGGACGGUGCAUGCUUAUAAGGGUUGGCUGAAUCGAAAGCUCAAGCGAAAAGGGCACGUGAAGUAGGAAGAGAGUCUCGUGCUUAGUAACUCGAACGCUGAAAACUGGGAAUACUGGCGUUCUGAUGAUGAAGCCUUAACGGCAGUCUCUGUCACUGAUUAUUCUAUGGAAUGCAUACUAAUGCCACUUG